UCAAGCAUCCUACUCAUCAGGUUGUACUUGCAAAAUAGACCUCAUCUGAUGCGAGCUCAAAAGUUUCUUGUUGCGCGAAGCAAAUGGUGCAUUAGUCGUCUAAUGACCAUAACUUCUCAACUCAGAGAAUUUCAAGCAUUGUCGGCUAUUAGGGGAAUUCCUUUGCUUCCUGUUAUCUUGAAUCCCACCAGUUACAAUCACUGUAAACAUUACGGUGAGAGUUUCAAUAAACUAUCUAGACCUUUACAG
RNAcentral lists this unclassified non-coding RNA (249 nucleotides) under Hevea brasiliensis (rubber tree). The record is from RNAcentral. Lineage: Eukaryota; Viridiplantae; Streptophyta; Magnoliopsida; Malpighiales; Euphorbiaceae.